This 224-nucleotide non-coding RNA is filed under the name Priestia koreensis. Its description in RNAcentral is "Bacillus koreensis T-box sequence". It matches the Rfam family "T-box leader". Rfam says of the family: Uncharged tRNA acts as the effector for transcription antitermination of genes in the T-box leader family. T-boxes are found upstream of many aminoacyl-tRNA synthetase genes and some amino acid biosynthetic genes usually in Gram-positive bacteria. The record is from RNAcentral. Lineage: Bacteria; Bacillati; Bacillota; Bacilli; Caryophanales; Bacillaceae.
UGAACAACCUUGAAAAGGAGUAGUAGUGAACGAAACGUAUGCAUAGAGAGCUGGCGGUCGGUGCAAGUCAGUAAGCGAACGUUCAUGAACUCGCCUUUGAGUUGCAAAUGUGAAUCAACAGUAACAUUUGCCGUUUCCAUCCGCGUUAAGGAUUUGAGUGAGUACAUAUGUUGUACUAAUGUGGGUGGUACCGCGGGAAGAUAAACAAUCCUCUCGUCCCUUUU